AAUAGGGCUAUGUCUAAAGUCCCAAGUUAGCUCUAUAGAAAGUAUUUGAGACCUGAAGGAGCUGGAAUUAGAUCUGGGAUUAGAGGAGCUCCUGCUUUCCAGGCCCAGAUGUGAAAGGCUCUGUGUGCAGGAUGCAAUUUUCAAUGCUUACAGCCAGUGCAGCUGUGGAAGAAUGAGCAGAGGAUGUUUUUUCUGCCUCAUGGAUCAUCAACAAACUUGUCAACUACUAUAAAUUCCAGUGGCAGAAACUUCAAUACUGGUGAAGAUGUACAAGGCUGAAGGGACACAGCACAAGUUGCAGAUCCAUCUCCAGUAGAAUUUGCUGGACUGGUGAGCUAAGGGGAAAAAAAGACUGACUUUCAAUUGAGAGGGAAAAUGUGGAACCCCACAGAAGAAGGGGAGAUGAGGAAAGCAGACUUAUUGUACCAACAUGAACUGAUGAAAAUCAUGCUUUCUCACUGAGUGGCUUCUCAUUCUGGCCUCAAUAAUGCAGGAUGGAUCAUUAGUAUUUCAGAAUUUAAAAACCCUUUGGUGAAGAAGAAAAACCUUAUUUACUCCAAAC
This is a long non-coding RNA of Mauremys mutica (yellowpond turtle), 562 nucleotides long. RefSeq lists it as uncharacterized. The transcript is spliced from 5 exons. The record is from RefSeq and is a predicted model, not a curated record. NCBI's taxonomy places the organism in Eukaryota, Metazoa, Chordata, Testudines, Geoemydidae.